RNAcentral lists this ribosomal RNA (253 nucleotides) under uncultured bacterium. RNAcentral's name for it is "partial 16S ribosomal RNA". It matches the Rfam family "Bacterial small subunit ribosomal RNA", at positions 524 to 776 of the family's 1533-position model. The record is from RNAcentral.
UACGUAGGUGGCAAGCGUUGUCCGGAAUUAUUGGGCGUAAAGCGCGCGCAGGUGGUUCCUUAAGUCUGAUGUGAAAGCCCACGGCUCAACCGUGGAAGGUCAUUGGAAACUGGGGAACUUGAGUACAGAAGAGGAAAGUGGAAUUCCAAGUGUAGCGGUGAAAUGCGUAGAUAUUUGGAGGAACACCAGUGGCGAAGGCGACUUUCUGGUCUGUAACUGACACUGAGGCGCGAAAGCAUGGGGAGCGAACAGG